CACGAAACCAGGCGAGCUACCAUAAGACGUACAUUAGUAUAAAGUAUGUGGCAUAAUAAUUUACAGAUCUUACAGUAGGAGUGAGAGGCUGUCAAGUCUGGAGAUAUCUUGUUAAUUCUUAAAAGUAUUUAGUACAGCGUCAAUUUAUUAGUGAUAAGGCUAAUAAAUAUAACUUAAUUGGUUAAAUAUUGGGUGCGUAGUUUAACCGCUGGUACCUCAGUAAUUGUAUUAUUAAAAUCCAAAAAUAGUUUAACUUAAGAACACGUGCAAAAUUCAAUUUAACAUUUAUACUGUAAGUAUAAGUAGCUCAGAUACCACCGAUGAACUCGGCAACAUUUCUUUCACCUGUUUAUCAAAAACAUCGCCAAUAGGAGGUAUUAUUGGUCAUUUCUGCUCCAUGUAUUAUAAAUAGCCGCAGUACUCUGACUGUGCUAAGGUAGCAUAAUCAUUUGGCUUAUAAUUGAAGUCUGGCAUGAAUGAAAUCAUGAGGGAAAACUCUAUUAGUGGUACCUAACGAAUUUAUUAAGUGAGUGCAAAUACUCACACUUAAAUAAUAGACGAGAAGACCCUAGAAAUUUUUAUGUCAAGUUUUUGUUGGGGCAACAUAGUAGCAGGUAACCUACAGUAUUAUACACGACAUGGUAUAGUCAGACUAAAUUACUCUAGGGAUAACAGCGUAAUAUAUAAGCGUUUGCGACCUCGAUGUUGGACUAGGGAACCGAUACCUAGAA
Molecule: ribosomal RNA, 731 nt
Filed under: Amplirhagada alkuonides
Lineage: Eukaryota; Metazoa; Mollusca; Gastropoda; Stylommatophora; Camaenidae
Description: partial 16S ribosomal RNA
Rfam family: Bacterial large subunit ribosomal RNA
Source: RNAcentral